ACGGUCCUAAGGUAGCGAAAUUCCUUGUCGGGUAAGUUCCGACCUGCACGAAUGGCGUAACGACUUCCCCACUGUCUCGACCAGGAGCUCGGCGAAAUUGCAGUACGAGUAAAGAUGCUCGUUAAGCGCAGAAGGACGAAAAGACCCCGGGACCUUUACUAUACCUUGGUAUUGGCGUUAGGCGCGGAUUGUGUAGCAUAGGCGGGAGGCUUCGAAGCGUGGGCGCCAGCUCAUGUGGAGCCGCAAGGUGAAAUACCGCUCUGUUCUCGUUUGACGUCUAACCUCGACAAGUCAUCCUUGUCAGGGACAGUGCCUGGCGGGUAGUUCAACUGGGGCGGUUGCCUCCCAAAGAGUAACGGAGGCGCUCAAAGGUCCGCUCAGCCCGGUUGGCAAUCGGGUGUCGAGUGUAAUCGCACAAGCGGGCUUGACUGCGAGGACGACGGUCCGAGCAGGGACGAAAGUCGGAGAUAGUGAUCCGGUGCCGGCGCACGGGCGCGGCAUCGCUCAACGGAUAAAAGGUACCCCGGGGAUAACAGGCUGAUCAUUCCCAAGAGUCCAUAUCGACGGGAUGGUUUGGCACCUCGAUGUCGGCUCGUCGCAUCCUGGGGCUGGAGCAGGUCCCAAGGGUUCGGCUGUUCGCCGAUUAAAGCGGCACGCGAGCUGGGUUCAGAACGUCGUGAGACAGUUUGGUCUCUAUCCUCUGCGCUCGUUGGAAUCCUGAGGAGGCCUGCCCAUAGUACGAGAGGACCUGGGUGGACGAACCUCUGGUAUGCCGGUUGUCGCGCCAGCGGCACGGCCGGUUGGCUACGUUCGGGAGGGAUAACCGCUGAAAGCAUCUAAGCGGGAAGCCUGCUCCAAGAUUAGGAUUCCAUGGAUCUUCGAGAUCCUGUAGCCCGCAUGUUGAACACGUGUUUGAUAGGCCGGAGGUGGAAGCCCCGUGAGGGGUGGAGCCGACCGGUACUAACGGGCGACGGCGACAUAAC
Molecule: ribosomal RNA, 983 nt
Filed under: human gut metagenome
Description: bacterial LSU rRNA
Rfam family: Bacterial large subunit ribosomal RNA
Source: RNAcentral